RNAcentral lists this ribosomal RNA (253 nucleotides) under Mediterraneibacter faecis JCM 15917. RNAcentral's name for it is "[Ruminococcus] faecis JCM 15917 partial 16S ribosomal RNA". It matches the Rfam family "Bacterial small subunit ribosomal RNA", at positions 524 to 776 of the family's 1533-position model. Lineage: Bacteria; Bacillati; Bacillota; Clostridia; Lachnospirales; Lachnospiraceae. The record is from RNAcentral.
UACGUAUGGUGCAAGCGUUAUCCGGAUUUACUGGGUGUAAAGGGAGCGUAGACGGAGUGGCAAGUCUGAUGUGAAAACCCGGGGCUCAACCCCGGGACUGCAUUGGAAACUGUCAAUCUAGAGUACCGGAGAGGUAAGCGGAAUUCCUAGUGUAGCGGCGAAAUGCGUAGAUAUUAGGAGGAACACCAGUGGCGAAGGCGGCUUACUGGACGGUAACUGACGUUGAGGCUCGAAAGCGUGGGGAGCAAACAGG